AGAGUUUGAUCAUGGCUCAGGACGAACGCCGGCGGCGUGCCUAAAACAUGCAAGUCGAACGGGCAAAGGGGCUUCGGCCCUUUUGUUAGUGGCGAACGGCGGAGUAAUACAUAAGCAACCUGCCCCGAAGACCGGGAUAACUCUGCGAAAGCGGGACUAAUACCGGAUGUGUCCUCUGAGGGCAUCCUCGGGGGUCUAAAGCAGGCAACUGACUUCGGGAGGGGCUUGUGGCCUAUCAGCUUGUUGGUGGGGUAAUGGCCUACCAAGGCUACGACGGGUAGCUGGUCUGAGAGGACGAUCAGCCCGACUGGGACUGAGACACGGCCCAGACUCCUACGGGAGGCAGCAGUUUGGAAUCUUGCACAAUGGGCGAAAGCCUGAUGCAGCGACGCCGUAUGGAGGAUGACGUCUCUCGGGAUGUAAACUCCUUUUGUUGGGAAAGAACUAAGACGGUACCCAAAGAAUAAGCCCCGGCUAACUACGUGCCAGCAGCCGCGGUAAGACGUGGGGGGCGAGCGUUGUCCGGAAUUACUGGGCGUAAAGAGCGCGUAGGCGGCUGGUUAAGUCAGAUGUGAAAUCUCCAGGGCUCAACCCGGAAACCGCAUUUGAUACUGGCCAGCUAGAGAGAUGAAGGGGCAGAUGGAAUUCCUGGUGUAGCGGUGAAAUGCAUUGAUAUCAGGAGGAACACCCGUGGCGAAGGCGGUCUGCUGGGCAUCUUCUGACGCUGAGGCGCGAAAGCAGGGGGAGCAAACGGGAUUAGAUACCCCGGUAGUCCCUGCCCUAAACGAUGGAUGCUAGGUGUGAGCGGUAUCAAUCCCGUUCGUGCCGUCGCUAACGCAUUAAGCAUCCCGCCUGGGGAGUACGGCCGCAAGGUUGAAACUCAAAUGAAUUGACGGGGACCCGCACAAGCGGUGGAGCAUGUGGUUUAAUUCGAUACUAACCGAAGAACCUUACCCAGGCUUGACAUCGAUGGUAAGCCUCAGAAAUGGGGCCCCCUACUCACAAGGUAGGCCUGAAGACACCUGUUGCAUGGCUGUCGUCAGCUCGUGCCGUGAGGUGUUUGGUUAAGUCCAGCAACGAGCGCAACCCGCAUCCUAUGUUGCCAGCGGGUCAUGCCGGGCACUCAUAGGAAACUGCCGGGGCAACCCGGAGGAAGGUGCGGAUGAUGUCAAGUCAGCAUGGCGGUUACGCCUGGGGCUACACACAUGCUACAAUGGGCGAAACAGAGGGCUGCAAUGCCGCGAGGCGGAGCC
This 1253-nucleotide ribosomal RNA is filed under the name metagenome. RNAcentral's name for it is "bacterial SSU rRNA". It matches the Rfam family "Bacterial small subunit ribosomal RNA", at positions 8 to 1269 of the family's 1533-position model. The record is from RNAcentral.